CCACCUGAAUGGAGCUCGCAGACCACUGGUGGUCCAUGGACCACAGUUUGAGAACCUCUGCUGUAGGGAUUAGACAUACCUAUAUUGCGGAAUAGAGAUCCUCUCUUCUCUGCAUGUGUUGUAUACCCAUUCAUGGAUUUAUUUCUCAUUUUAUGUUCUACAUUCUAGCUGGGCUCCCUUCUUCAGUAUGAAUUAGUUUUCUUAUGUAUUAUUAGCAAAUCUUCUGCUUAAUUACUGAUUUUUCAACUGCAGAAUUUAAUGUGGAUAGUAGAGUCCAAGGAACUGACCCUGACUGGAGGGAUGAGAAAAAUAUAUUUGCAAAAGUCUAAACAUGAUACCUCAAACUACUGCUUGCCCAAAAAAUUUGAUUAAAGUAAAUGGACUUCUGGAAGGUAGAGUAGAGCAGCUAAUAUUUGCUCCGAUAAUGUAAGGAUUAUUUGAAUGCUUGCAGGAAAAGAAUACCAGGCCCUACUUCAUUUCAUGACAUAUUAAUCACCAACACUCUUGAACUUUGUAUGCAGGAGGAUUUGCAAUAUGUGGAAAAAAAAUUAGUGACUAAUAAUAAUUUCAAAUUAUAUGUCUCUUUUCUUCUGGUGAUCUUGAAAUCCCCUGGAUUCGGGGGUGAGGUAAAAAGUUUGGGGACCACUGGAAUAGGAUCAGGAUUUCACCAUGUGGCAGGAAAGGAGUCAUGCUGGACGUGAUGUCAGUUGUGCAGGCAUUUGUGAUUUUACUAGCACUUUGUGACUGGCCUGGAAAGAUGAUAUCAACUCCAAUGCUACUACAGCUAAUGUCUCAAUUGAUAGAGGGCUGCUUUUGUAUCUAGUGUUUGUUUUAACACUGAUGGUAUGUGUGUACAGGCUAGUUGAUAACUAUAAUGUCUGCUACCACUGCAAUUACCCACAGUUGUUGUCCUAGACAGUCUAUAUUAAAAUAUUUCUACCUUUAAUUUUAAUUAAUCAAAGCAAAGUGCAGUCCAUAAGAACAUCUUACUAAGUUUUUUUGGAACUAAGGACUUUAGGCCCUAAUUUGUAAAACAGGUGAACAAAUAUGUAAGUCAAGUGUGGUGCACGGUGUCACAGAAUGACUGGCUCCUUUAAGGGGACAUAGUGGCCAGCCACACCUGGGCCAUAAUUAAUUAGCUUCUUGUGAGCCUCAGUGGGUAGAAUUAAGAGGGUCACAAGAUAGUUUAAUAGAUAGCUGGACCUCAUAAAAAGGCUGAGAGAGAUCAGUCUGGGAGUGGAAACACAAGGCGUGGGUAGGCUUCUGUAGAAGGCUCUAAACUAGGCUUUGGAAGAGCAGUAAUGAAAUCACAGGAAGUGGGCAAAUGCCUGUGGAAGCCUUUGAGGCAGCAACUGCUGGAGGCCGGGUACUCCAGGGGAACCAGCCUUGAGGCCCAGGGCUGUGUACUGGAACAGGGAAGGAUGCAAAGAAUGGAGCCCAGCAGAUGCUGAGAUCAGUACUCCAGGGGAAUGCGCCUGAGGUCUGUAUGCUUUAUCAAAAAUAGUCUAAAAUGGAUGUGGGAGCAGGGCUCAGAGAUAGGCUGAAGAGAAGUCCCCAAAGGGCAGAAAAACCUUUUGUUUGUUGGGCUCGACAGUUUUGUUUGCAGCUUGGUUGGAGGCUCAAGUUAUGUCUGCAGCAUGGAUCUGUGUGUGGAAAGCCAAGGAAAUCCACCUUGGGGAGGGAAAUUGAGGCGGGGAAUGCCUACAAUGCCACACUCAAAAAGCAGAUAUGUCGAAUGACAUACAAUGAUAAAUAUGAUCUGGGAUCAGGCACCACUUUUGUAAGGAUCAUCAAGGCUAAAAGCCGUGAAGAUGGAAAUAUUUUGUAGUAAAUGAGGAAAGGCAAUAGAGAGAUUGAGAAUGUUAUCAAGUGCAGAAUGGAUUAUAGUCAAAGAAGUGGAUUCAGAUGUCAUAAAAUUGGCACUGGGGACCUCAUCAGCUAAUUCAACAGCUUCAUAUAUAGUAACUGACAAAGCUUCUUGGGAUAAAACUGAACUUAUUCAGCAUCUGAAUUACAUAAGCUUCUAGGUCUCAUGCUGAUGGACUAUGUUUAAAAAUCCAUGAGGAAAAGAAAAACUAAGGAUACCUGAAAGCUAAAAGGUAUUUUUCUGUUUCUGGAACCUCUCACUGUAGUGUUUAAGAUUAAAAGAAAGUUAUAGAAACUUUUAGGUAAUAUUUAACCUGAAUCCCUUAUCUUUUCACUCAACAUUUGACU
Trachemys scripta elegans is the source of this 2214-nucleotide long non-coding RNA. RefSeq lists it as uncharacterized. Lineage: Eukaryota; Metazoa; Chordata; Testudines; Emydidae. The record is from RefSeq and is a predicted model, not a curated record. The transcript is spliced from 4 exons.